ACGCUGCCGCCAUGUUCCGCUGAACUCGGUCAGCAACAUGCCCAGAGCGCUACGCGCCCGCCGGCACUAAGGAAGACGGUCGAGACGAACACGCCCGUGAGCGACCGCAUCCGACUUCGAGCACCAGCUUGGAGCCUGCGUC
This 142-nucleotide small RNA is filed under the name Xanthomonas citri pv. citri. RNAcentral describes it as "ncRNA with ncRNA_class of other". The record is from RNAcentral. Lineage: Bacteria; Pseudomonadati; Pseudomonadota; Gammaproteobacteria; Lysobacterales; Lysobacteraceae.